This 254-nucleotide ribosomal RNA is filed under the name uncultured bacterium. Its description in RNAcentral is "partial 16S ribosomal RNA". It matches the Rfam family "Bacterial small subunit ribosomal RNA", at positions 524 to 776 of the family's 1533-position model. The record is from RNAcentral.
UACGUAGGGUGCGAGCGUUGUCCGGAAUUAUUGGGCGUAAAGAGCUCGUAGGCGGUCUGUCGCGUCGGUCGUGAAAACUUGGGGCUUAACCCUGAGCUUGCGGUCGAUACGGGCAUGACUGGAGUUCGGUAGGGGAGACUGGAAUUCCUGGUGUAGCGGUGAAAUGCGCAGAUAUCGGGAGGAACACCGGUGGCGAAGGCGGGUCUCUGGGCCGAUACUGACGCUGAGGAGCGAAAGCAUGGGGAGCGAACAGG